AGGAUGAACGCUGGCGGCGUGCUUAACACAUGCAAGUCGAACGAUGAAGGCUGGAGCUUGCUCUGGCUGGAUUAGUGGCGAACGGGUGAGUAACACGUGAGUAACCUGCCCCAGACUCUGGGAUAAGCGCUGGAAACGGCGUCUAAUACCGGAUACGAGCUUCCACCGCAUGGUGAGGAGCUGGAAAGAAUUUCGGUCUGGGAUGGACUCGCGGCCUAUCAGCUUGUUGGUGAGGUAAUGGCUCACCAAGGCGACGACGGGUAGCCGGCCUGAGAGGGUGACCGGCCACGACUGGGACUGAGACACGGCCCAGACUCCUACGGGAGGCAGCGAGGUGGGAAUAUUGCACAAUGGGCGCGAAGCCUGAUGCAGCAACGCCGCGUGAGGACGAAGGCCGUUCGGUUGUAACCGU
Molecule: ribosomal RNA, 412 nt
Filed under: uncultured soil bacterium
Lineage: Bacteria
Description: bacterial SSU rRNA
Rfam family: Bacterial small subunit ribosomal RNA
Source: RNAcentral